AAAUUGAAAAGUACAUAUAUGAAAUAUGAUUUAAAUUUUUUUGUACGAAAAGUGAUAAAUAAAAACAAAAAUUGAUUAUAAAUAUAAAACGAAAAAGGAUCUAGAUGGCGCUUUAACGAGACUGUUGUUUCUUUCGUUACUUCCUUGUGUUCGUUUUAUUCGUCAAGUUGCAUGGUGUGUGUGUGUAUAUGGAAUAAAAACUGUCGGAAUUUUACUAAUUAAUUUAUAAUAUAGUAAAUUAACAAAAAUGGUGGACCUCAGUGGCGGUUCAGAAGGUCCAUUAGAACAUGGUUUUAGUAAUGCUGUUUUUAUUUUUCCCGCCCUGAUAGUUGUGGGCCUAUCAGGUUUUGAACACGUAUCACAAAAUUAAUGGAUACAGAUAGUAAAGCAUACACGUUGAAAAGAAGCCACGUUGGCCUGUUGAUAUCAUUCAGUUCAUUUCUUGUUCUGAUCGUCUCUAUUAUAAAUUCUUGUACAGAGAUAAUUCGUCCGUGAGGAGAAAUUCAUUCAGAGUGAAAUAAUCGAAAAAGUGCACAUGUUCUUUUAAAAUAAAGCAAACAUAAGAAACAGGAUGUGGAGAACACUUUUGCUUGGUUUGACUGGUUUCGCAUAUGCUCAAGAAGCUGACGAUGACGAUGCUGUUGUUAAUGAUGUACCUGAAAAUAAAAUUCCAAGUCCACAAGAACUUCUUAAAAUGUUAAAUUCUAUGGGUCUGUCGGAGGAGGAAAAAAAUAAAUUACGUGAAGAUAUAAUGAAUUCUCAAGGGGGUCAAUUAGGGCCUGAUAUGGAGGAGAACAUUGCAACUACUAACGUCUUUUUUUCCCAAACUAUACUUCUUCUUCUUUUAUUAUCACUGAUUUCUUCAAUAUUUGAGAAUUGCAAGACGAAGAAAAGUGGCAUUUUAAUCAAGCCAUAAAAGACAUUGUUAAAAAAACAUUAAACAAUUUGUUAGACCAUAAAAACAAUCGAAGUAAAUGGCUAACGUGGCUCAUAGACAGUCGUAUUAUUUUUCUAAUCUCUACAUUUAUCAUUAAUUUUCUAUUUGUUUUCUUUGGAUACAAACUAUAUAAAAGUUUGUCUGAACGAGAAAGAAAGCGUGAAGAAAAGAAGAAAAUGAAGCAAUUAAAGAAGAAGAAAUAAAAGAUUUAAAAAAAUCAAAUAGCGAAGAAUCAAAACAGCAUGUGUUGUGAAAAAAAAAAUUGCAAAUGAAAACAUUUGACGAUUGAUAUCAACUAUAAAGAAAGAAAUCACGAAUUGUUUUGUUACGUUAUCAAAGAUUUAUAUCUCAUGUACAAUAAUUAAACAUUCCUUAUUUUAUGUGUAUUAACUAUAUUUUGUUAAAUAAAUUGUCUAUUUCUCA
This is an RNA transcript of Leptopilina boulardi, 1360 nucleotides long. RefSeq lists it as uncharacterized. The transcript has 5 exons. NCBI's taxonomy places the organism in Eukaryota, Metazoa, Arthropoda, Insecta, Hymenoptera, Figitidae. The record is from RefSeq and is a predicted model, not a curated record.